UUUAAAGGCCACAGCCCACAUGUGUGCUCUUUACGCAGAGCCUCCUUCAAAGCAAAGAUAGACUUCAUGUUUUCUCUUCCCACUCGGGACCUCCAGGGGACGACAGCUCCAUAGCCAUGCUCUCUGCCUACUUAUGGAUUCUGUGAGUACUCCCCCAUUGCAAAUCCUGGAGGAUUUAAUAUCCACUCUGUAAUCUACUGGCACCAACAGGCAUUAUCUAACUAAACCUUAAAUUGAAAAUGCUAGUCUUUCCAUUCUCCCCAAGCCGUUGCGAAAAAGUUGGGCUCUCGUAGUCCGAUGUAAUUUACUCUGGCUCUAAUUAAAAUAUGCCACUCAGCUGCAACUGGAAGGAUGCUCAGCAGUGCUGUGGGCAUACAGGGGCCACACAGCCCCCGGCUCUGCUCCCGCUGCUGCCCCAUGCAUGAGCAGCUCUGCACACCUCUGCUUUGCCCUGGCUCACAUUUGGACUCCCAACCCAUUCCCAGUAAUGGUCAGCAGGGAAACUUCAGCUUCAGGUGUCUGCAGGAGCACUCUGCACUCAGGGCAGGCACGGGGAAACUGAGAUAGGCAUUCAGGGCAGACUGAGAGAGGCUGAUGAAGCACAUUUCUCACCUGGACCUUUCUGGAUCAUCGUGUGUUUCCAAGGAAAAGAAACAAAUUCCCAUGCUUCCUCCUCUCUCUCAUUCACCAUUAUCCAUUUUGGCUAAAUUGCCAAAGUCUAAACACAGGCCUGAAAUAUUCAAUUAUGACUUCCAAAUUAUUAGAAAAAAAAAUAAAACUAAAAGCCUCCUUCCCAACUAAGGCUGUAGUCAGUAUCAGCUUUCCAAAUGAGUAGGGUAUAAAUCCUGCUUUGCAGUUACCAAUCCCCACUGACACGCAGUGAAUGGGGAAGGCAGACUUUUGGAGGGCAGCCACUCAGGAGAUGCAAAAGCAAAGAUGGAAUUGCAGAGCAGCUCCACCUGGUUCAGCAACCCAUCUGACAGUGCCAGAUGCUUCAAGGAAGAUGUCAGUAGACAGAUGUGGGAUAAACUGUGUUUAGGGAGAGCUGUUUCCUCCUGACCCCGCAAGUUUGCACUUAGCGUAUGUCCUUAAUUAAUAACCUUUUUGGCAUUUUCAUAUCCUGCUAGUUCCACAUCUGAUGUGGCUCCCUGUUGUGCGACAGAUGAGCAUCGGGAUCCCUGGCAUGUUUAUUUCCCAGCGCUGGUAGCAAAUGUGAAUCCCCAUUUCCGAGACUACAGGGAACAAAACCACAGAGCAGAGAAAUGAUUGAUCCCCGUUUGAGCCUCUCUAGAUGAUCCACACCCAUCACACAGAAAAGCCAACGUGUAAAUCUAUAGGUGUGAGGGGAGACGUCAGUGACAAAGACCACAGAGGCAGGAGGAAUUCCCAGCGCACUGCACAGGGACCUGAGUUACCCACAAGCUGAGAGCUUCAGUGUGCUGCUGUCUUCACGUGGAAGACAGAGCCAAAGGGAACAGGAUCCAUUCACACAUGAGCUGUCUCCUACGUUUGCACAACAUGAAGAACGCAACCUUGAAGCAAAACUGGAGCAAAUGCAGCUGUCGCUUCACAGCACAGAUAAAUGAUGGGCUCCCAGAGAAGCCAAGCUAUGCUUGGGAAGAGCAGGCUCUGGGAUGCAGCCACGGAGACAUCAGUUCCAUAAUCGAUGCAAGGCACUUGGCACGAUGUCCUCUCAGCUGGAUUUUUGAGCUGGGUGCUGGCCAAUCCUUAUAGCUGCAAGCGUGUUCACGGGGAUGUGGCCAUAAAUCACAAAGUUCCCAGCACAGCAGCAGGUUGAGUUGCAACGACCACACCAACUGCCACCAGCGCUCAGCAAAGAGCAUUGGGAAAUAUCCCCCAAAGCAUAAGCGUGAUGAAUAGGAGGGGAAAAUGCCUGAACAAGCUUUGAGAGCAAACCAUGUUCAUCCCUAUAGACAAUGCUUUCCAUCCUCUGGUGCCAAAGAAAGCACUGCUGACAGAGCAGAGCUCAGGGGUUCUGUCCGUGGUACCCACACAAUGCAAAGGUGCACCAGCAGUGGGUAGGGCAGGCUGUAGGCAACAGAUCAGCCCCCUCCCCUUCAAAAAUAGCUUUCUGAUCCAAAGCUUUCCAGCUUUUUUUUGUUGUUUUGUUUUUCAGAAGUCUAAGCUGCUUAGAUGUUUUGCAAGAAAGCAGAAGACGCGGUAUUAAAUCAGCUUUGAGAAAGUCCCAGUAUACCCAUUUUCC
This is a long non-coding RNA of Gallus gallus (chicken), 2224 nucleotides long. The record is from Ensembl. NCBI's taxonomy places the organism in Eukaryota, Metazoa, Chordata, Aves, Galliformes, Phasianidae.